GUGUCAGCAGCCGCGGUAACACGUAGGGCGCAAGCGUUGUCCGGAAUUAUUGGGCGUAAAGAGCUCGUAGGUGGUUUGUUACGUCUGCUGUGAAAACCUAGGGCUUAACCCUGGGCUUGCAGUGGAUACGGGCAGACUAGAGGUAGGUAGGGGAGAAUGGAAUUCCUGGUGUAGCGGUGAAAUGCGCAGAUAUCAGGAGGAACACCGGUGGCGAAGGCGGUUCUCUGGGCCUUACCUGACACUGAGGAGCGAAAGCGUGGGGAGCGAACAGGAUUAGAUACCCCAGUAGUCC
RNAcentral lists this ribosomal RNA (292 nucleotides) under uncultured bacterium. Its description in RNAcentral is "partial 16S ribosomal RNA". It matches the Rfam family "Bacterial small subunit ribosomal RNA", at positions 505 to 796 of the family's 1533-position model. The record is from RNAcentral.